GGAAGGGAAGGGGAAGGGAAGGGACCCAGGCUAACAGACUCCAGAUACCAGCAGCAGCCCUUGAGCCAUGUUGCCUAAUUGUCCCCAAGGAGAAAACUUCCCAGGUCUUCGGAGGCAGCAAAAGCUUUCCUGGCACAGAGCUAGAAAAGAAGAUUCUCAUGGUGUCUCAUGUGGCAGGAACUACAGGAGCUGGGCCAAGAAGAGCCCAAGAAGACAUUACUACUAACUGUCACAUGGUGUCACGGAUGGGAUCUUCGGACAGAAAAAGGAAAUUGGGCCAGGCGCGGUGGCUCACGCCUAUAAUCCCAUCACUUUGGGAGGCUGAGGCUGUACAAGAAGCAUGGUGCCAGCAUCUGCUGCUAGUGAGGACCGCAGGAAGCUUCCUAUCAUAGUGGAAGAUGAAGGGGGGCCGACAAGAUCACGUGACUCUCCCUGCGAUAUCCUCUCUGGGAAUCCAGCUGCCAAGCUGUGAGAAGCCCUAGCCCCAUGGAGAGAGGCACCCGUCAACCAGGCUUCAGACACAGAGUAAAGAAGCUUCCAGGCGACCCCAGCCCCCAGGCAUCCAAAUCACCGCCAGCAUUCAGGUCUUUCCAAGUAAAGGCCAGAUACCACAGAGCAAAGACAAACUGUUCUCACAGGCCCUGUCUGAAUUAGCAACCUAUAGAAUUUGUGAGUUCAGGCCAGGCACGGUGGCCCACACCUGUAAUUCUAACACUUUGGGA
Molecule: long non-coding RNA, 722 nt
Filed under: Homo sapiens (human)
Lineage: Eukaryota; Metazoa; Chordata; Mammalia; Primates; Hominidae
Description: HSALNT0341554
Source: RNAcentral